CAACUGUUCCCCAGUGCUGGAGGUGAAAGGGUACAUUUUUCCUUUGGCACAUGGAAUGACUGAAUUUCAGCCACUUCACUGUUCUAGCAGAGCUUGUUCUUGUGGGAAACUUGAUCUGGAAGACAGAUGUAAAACACCUGUAGGAUGGCUCCCCUUGGUCCUGUUUCUUGACUUUGGCAGGAGCAAACACUUGGUACACGGGUCAGGUGCCCAGAGAGAGGCUGAUGAAGAAACCACAGUGACACCAUUCAGGACGUUGCUAAAUCGCUUCCCCCAUUAACUGGUGACAUUUGAGUUAAACUAAUGAGAAGCAUGUCUGCUGCAAUGCAGUACACAUUUAUUCUUGGAGACUGCUUUCUUCAGCUUAUUUACUGUUUUACCAACACUCUUAGUCACCAUUACAGCUGAUUAAUGAUGCCUUUCAUUAAAGGGAAACUAUUACAGACAUCCUUAUUUGAUCUACUUUGAAACUUUUCUAUUUCUGAUCAUCGUCUUCUGUCCUUCCUUUCUCCUCCUUCUCAUCUUUUCUCAGAAAUGAUAAGUGAGGCAAGAGAUAAUGCCUUCGCAGCCUUUGAGCAAUGGCUGUACAUAUGGCACAUGGUGAAAAUCAGACAAAAAAGUAAAGUGAUAUUCUUGAUAAAACAGGUACUUCUACAUUAAUAAUCUGCCAUCAUCUAAAUUGCCAUAAAAUCCUCAGCUAGACUGAUAUAAUCCUAAUGCCUUUUGCACAAUAGGCAGCUUUUAAAGUACAAAACUAUAUCUCUUCUCUGAUAUAAUCUGUCUUUUAGCAGAACUUGCUGUAUAAGGGAUGGCCUCAGGAUUUCUACACCUGGGGAUGUUCAGCUGCUUGCUUUAGGCUUAUCUGACCUUGCCUCUUUUAUAAGUAGCUCUCUAAAAGGAGUUUUUAGUAAUAUUAGAAGUGCAAAACACUCCGUUCCAAUUUUUUUUUAUUUAACAAAACUCAUGCAUGUGUGUUCUGAGGAUUUUUCCAGAAUUCUGGACAGACCCAUGGAUCUUCUGGAUGGGAAGCAGUGGCUGUACCCCCAUCAGGGGAUGUCUUUUUGAAACCAAUUGACUCCAUUUGAUUUUCUAUGCUGAUGUCUCAUUUUAUACAAUGAAAAUAAAAGGUGUAUUUUGGGCA
Molecule: long non-coding RNA, 1141 nt
Filed under: Zonotrichia albicollis (white-throated sparrow)
Lineage: Eukaryota; Metazoa; Chordata; Aves; Passeriformes; Passerellidae
Description: lncRNA (ENSZALG00000007203.1)
Source: RNAcentral